ACAGCAGUAGCCACGGGAAUACGUAGGGUGCAAGCGUUAAUCGGAAUUAUUGGGCGUAAAGGGUGCGUAGGCGGUUUGAUAAGUCUUGUGUGAAAUCUAUGGGCUCAACCCAUAGUCUGCACAGGAAACUGUCGGGCUUGAGAGUGGGAGAGGUGAGUGGAAUUUCCGGUGUAGCGGUGAAAUGCGUAGAUAUCGGAAGGAACACCUGUGGCGAAAGCGGCUCACUGGACCAUUUCUGACGCUGAUGCACGAAAGCUAGGGGAGCAAAUGGGAUUAGAUACCCCAGUAGUCCCUGUCUCUUAUAC
RNAcentral lists this ribosomal RNA (305 nucleotides) under uncultured bacterium. RNAcentral's name for it is "partial 16S ribosomal RNA". It matches the Rfam family "Bacterial small subunit ribosomal RNA", at positions 505 to 807 of the family's 1533-position model. The record is from RNAcentral.